GCCCCGGUUGCCUAGCCCGGUAACGGCGGCGGCCUCGUAAGCCGCAGAUCCCGGGUUCAAGAUAGGCAGGGGAA
Molecule: transfer RNA, 74 nt
Filed under: Thermoprotei archaeon
Lineage: Archaea; Thermoproteati; Thermoproteota; Thermoprotei
Description: tRNA-Thr
Source: RNAcentral